This 1755-nucleotide long non-coding RNA is filed under the name Olea europaea subsp. europaea. The record is from RNAcentral. Lineage: Eukaryota; Viridiplantae; Streptophyta; Magnoliopsida; Lamiales; Oleaceae.
AACCAGAUCUCACCCUUUGGAAUGGGCCUUACUCAAACCCCAUCAGUAAAACUCGAUAGGAACAACUUCCUGCUGUGGAAAAACAUGGUUAUGCCUAUAAUCAAAGGGCAUAACUUAGAAGGUUACCUACUUGGAACCAAAAAGUGUCCACCAGAGUUCUUAGCCACACAAACCACCACUGCUGGAGGAGAGGCAGUAGAGAUGGUUCAGAACCCAGAAUACAACAAAUGGGUUUCAACAGAUCAGCUACUAAUGGGCUGGUUAUACUCGUCCAUGACUCCAGAAAUAGCAAUGAGAGUCAUGGGGUGCAUCAGCUCAAACACGCUGUGGACAGCAAUAGAAGAAAGCUUCGGCAUAUUGAACAAAUCAAGAGUGAUGUUCCUUACUGGAGAAUUGUAGAGAACAAGAAAAGGGUCCAUGACCAUGGAUCAAUAUCUCACUAUAGUUAAACAAUUGGCUGACAACCUUCAGAUAGCUGGGAAGGUAGUUGAUCAUAGUGAUCUCAUAACACAAGUACUAUCAGGUUUGGAUGAUGAAUAUACACCUAUCGUUGUACAAAUCAAUAGCAGGGAUGAUAUAUCAUGGUAUGAGCUGUCCUCUAUACUAAUGACUUUUGAGAGUAGGCUUGAGUAUUUGAAUCAAGUGAAGAACAACUUUGCAUCACUAAACGUUGAGCACUCAAGUGUUCAACUAGCCCAAAGUGCAGGUCUAGGAAGUGGCAGAAGCUUUAGAGGAAGGACCCUGAAUUUUAGAGGUAGAUCAAGGGGAAGAGGUAGAGCAAACAGACCAAAUGAAAGCAAGGGACCUUGUCAGAUUUGUGGACUCAACAAUCACCUAGCUAGCUGGUGCUUCAACAGAUAUGAUAACAGAUACAUGGGUAACAGACCUAAUAAUCAAAACCAUCAAGGUAGUACCUCAAACCCCUCUGCAUAUGCUGCUGGACCAAGAAUACUUGAAGAUCCGGCCUAGUUUGCUGAUUCUGGUGCCAGCAACCAUGUGACAGCAAAUAAAGGUAACUUGAAUACUGGUAAGAAAUAUGAUGGUAAGGAGAAAUUGCUAGUUGGUGAUGGAAAUUCACUAAAAAUUGCACAUAUUGGUAAAGGAAGCAUCCCUACUUUAGACAAACCUCUUACUCUUAAUAAGUUACUUCAUGUGCCUGAAAUCAAAAGAACUUGAUCAGUAUAUCUCAGCUUACAUAUGAUAACAAUGUGUUUAUUGAAUUCUUUCCUGAUCAUUGUGCUGUGAAGGACCUGAAAACCAGGAAGACUCUGCUGCAGGGAAUGCUUAAGGAUGGAUUGUAUCGACUGGAGCCCCCAAACUCAAAGUCUAAACCUACAAAUCAAGAGUCAGACCAUCAAAAUAAUACCAGCUGUUUCACAGUAGGUUCCAGCUGUGAUGAGUCAACCAAAAGAGUCAAGUUAGAGUCAGAAGUUGAUGUAUGGCAUAGAAGGCUAGGUCAUCCAUCAAGUCUUGUGUUAGGUCAAGUUCUAAAGACAUGUAAUAAUUCCAUCAAAAUUAAUGAAAAACCAGCUUUCUGUGAACCAUGUCAAUUUGGCAAAUCUCAUGCACUACCUUUCAAUAUGUCUUCAUCUCAUGCUUCAAACCCCUUGGACUUGGUCUAUACGGAUGUCUGGGGACCAGCACCUAGGAAGUCCACCUCAGGGUUUAGAUACUAUAUCAUUUUUGUUGAUGAUCAUAGCCGGUUUACUUGGAUCUACCCCAUGAAACAUAAAUUUGAGGCACUAAACAUCUUUA